Molecule: long non-coding RNA, 1620 nt
Organism: Oncorhynchus tshawytscha (Chinook salmon)
Lineage: Eukaryota; Metazoa; Chordata; Actinopteri; Salmoniformes; Salmonidae
Exons: 8
Source: RefSeq, a predicted model, not a curated record
GUCUGUGGAGUGUGAGUGUGAGUGAGAAAGUGAGUUGUAUCUCAUAGUUGAAACCAAGACUGUUCUCAGGGCAGGUCUGCCGGUUUUGACUAGCAGAAGUUACUUUUCUUAGCAGGUUACGAUAAUUAACGCAGCAGGUUAGGAUAAUUAUGUAAAAUGCUAACAAUGUCCCCGAUGCGACUCGAAUCUAUGUACAACCAUGCCUGCCCUGAGAACAGACUUAAUUUCCACUAUGCGAUGCUCCGGGCCAAACGGUCUGUGAGGGAAGACUCAAGAGGAAAUUAGCUUUCUGUUCUACUCGAGCUAUUUUAUUUUGUAUUUUCGUUGAAAAGUCGCCUAAAUAUUUUUGAGCAGAUGCUAGAUUGUGUGGUUAGCUUGCUAGCAGCCAUUGUCCAGGGAGAUGGUCGUGGCAUUUUCCCGAUUUAGGCAUGGAGGGUCUUCAAGAUGCAAUUAAACACCAAUUGCCCGAGUUGGAGACCGAGAUGGGGAGAUCUUUGUCGGAGCAUCUGAGGGCAAAUUUUGGAGUGGAGAAUAUUAACAACCUUGAAUAUGUUCAGCCGGAGGACAUAAAAUACCAUUUGAUGCCAAUAUAGUGCCUGGAAAUGCUUCAGUCCUUCAACCAAAGAGAAUGGAUAGGAUCUGUAACAAUGGAUAGUACACUUGUCCUCCUCCAAGCAUCAGUGACCUCCAAGAACAGUGGCCUUUGCUUUUCACCAAGUUAUGACUAUGCGACCACUUCAAUACCCUCACUGGCAUCGUGAUUGACAGUCGCCUGACUCAAGCUCUCCUGAACAAGGGUCACUGCAACUCGGGUUGAUGUCGAGGCGUAAAUUCCUUUGCCAGACACACCAAGGCUGAUUAUGCUUGGAAAUACUCUAUUGGGUUCCUCAAAAUGGAUGGUGUCGAUCGAGGGGAGAGUGGUCUGUGUUAUGGACAGUGAGUCCAACUUUGUUGCUGCCCUCUGUGCUCUUCAGCACUUUCUAUGAAUUUAACAUAGAAUACCAGGAGUCAGCCUCUGCAACCUUGGCGCUGAUGCAGAGGAACCAAAUGCACAGUGAAAGCAGGAGUGAGCCGCAAAACCGGAAAGGUCGUUCAGCGGAAGCCAUUGCCAAUUGACCCACAUGUUAAGUGCUUUCUCGCAGACCUGAAGGAGUUUGAGUGGAAAAACUCCAACAUUAAAUCCUGCCAUGCGGUUUGGGUCAGCAAAUGAUCUGCUUGCGCCAUCCUGGAGCCUGUGUUGGCUUGCAGUAGCGUGCUUCUCUGGCUCCAGUCAAGCCCUGCUCCCUAUCAUCCUUCUCUCUCAGCCCCUUUCACUCACUCACUCACUCACUCACUCACUCACUCACUCACUCACUCACUCACUCACUCACUCACUCACUCACUCACAGGCAAGCAGUUCUUACAUAAUCCUGUAUUUUCAAGAAUGACCUAUUCUGAUGUCUUGGUUUGUGUAUGGUGAAGUACAUUAUUGGCCAGUAUUUGUCAAUGUUCCUAUCACUGUAUCUCUGUCUCUUUCUCUCCCCUACUAUCUGGAGUUGUAAUGUUUUCAAAUGUUGUUCUUUGUGGUUAAAGUGCAAUUCAUGUUAUGAAUUUGAAUAAAUAUAUAUAUUUGUACACGUA